RNAcentral lists this ribosomal RNA (419 nucleotides) under uncultured bacterium. RNAcentral describes it as "bacterial SSU rRNA". It matches the Rfam family "Bacterial small subunit ribosomal RNA", at positions 355 to 787 of the family's 1533-position model. The record is from RNAcentral.
UGGGGAAUAUUGGACAAUGGGCGAAAGCCUGAUCCAGCAACGCCGCGUGAGGGAUGACGGCCUUCGGGUUGUAAACCUCUUCAGCAGGGACGAAGCGCAAGUGACGGUACCUGCAGAAGAAGCACCGGCCAACUACGUGCCAGCAGCCGCGGUAAUACGUAGGGUGCGAGCGUUGCUCGGAAUUACUGGGCGUAAAGGGCGCGUAGGCGGGUCGUUUAGUUAGAGGUGAAAGCCCAGGGCUCAACCCUGGAAUUGCCUUUAAUACUGGCGGCCUUGAGUAUGGCAGAGGUGUGUGGAACUCCGAGUGUAGAGGUGAAAUUCGUAGAUAUUCGGAAGAACACCAGUGGCGAAGGCGACACACUGGGCCAUUACUGACGCUGAGGCGCGAAAGCGUGGGGAGCAAACAGGAUUAGAUACCC